CCUACGGGUGGCAGCAGUGGGGAAUAUUGCACAAUGGAGGCAACUCUGAUGCAGCGACGCCGCGUGCGUGAAGAAGUAAUUCGGUAUGUAAAGCUCUAUCAGCAGGGAAGAAAAUGACGGUACGUGAGUAAGAUGCCACGGCUCACUACGUGCCAGCAGCCGCGGUAAUACGUCGGGGGCAAGCGUUAUCCGGAUUUACUGGGUGUAAAGGGAGCGUAGACGGCAGUGCAAGUCUGGAGUGAAAGGCGGGGGCUCAACCCCCGGACUGCUCUGGAAACUGUGCGGCUGGAGUGCAGGAGAGGUAGGCGGAAUUCGUGGGGUAGCGGUGAAAUGCGUAGAUAUUAGGAGGAACACCAGUGGCGAAGGCGGCUUACUGUACUGUAACUGACGUUGAGGCUCGAAAGCGUGGGGAGCAAACAGGAUUAGAUACCCUUGUAGUC
This 440-nucleotide ribosomal RNA is filed under the name uncultured bacterium. RNAcentral describes it as "partial 16S ribosomal RNA". It matches the Rfam family "Bacterial small subunit ribosomal RNA", at positions 338 to 795 of the family's 1533-position model. The record is from RNAcentral.